This 241-nucleotide long non-coding RNA is filed under the name Mytilus galloprovincialis (Mediterranean mussel). The record is from RNAcentral. Lineage: Eukaryota; Metazoa; Mollusca; Bivalvia; Mytilida; Mytilidae.
ACUGGAUGUUUGUUGUAGUUGCCGUUUCAAAGAUGCACAUGUUACAUUCCACACCUUACUUAAUUUGCAUUAUAAUUUAUACAUUCAAUAUAUGCAUUAUCAUAUUCGACGCCAGUAGCUACCAUCCGACUCUGUUUCUGGGUUUGAAUUUUAAAGCUUGCUUGUAUGCUCGCUUUGCUGAUUUUUUGUUGCCUGACAAUUCAAGGGUAAGGCCAAGCGUGUUGUAAGAUACAUAUUUCUC